Molecule: long non-coding RNA, 1192 nt
Filed under: Calidris pugnax (ruff)
Lineage: Eukaryota; Metazoa; Chordata; Aves; Charadriiformes; Scolopacidae
Description: lncRNA (ENSCPUG00000005248.1)
Source: RNAcentral
GCACAGGGACCACCACUGACGGGACAGGACGCCCUUCCCACCCCUGGCUGUGUCCCUUGGGAUGGACGCUGUCCCCCAGGCACAUCAGCGGGCUCCUUUCACGUGUCUUUAAUAGAAACAGGGGGCGGGGGGUGGGGGCACACAGCCAUCCCCCCCCCUCCCCCUGGAGGAAUCGCGAAUUGCAUAGACCUUGGUGUGGGGGGACCCGCCCGCCCCCCGGGGGAGUCGCCUUUUAGAAAACAAAAAGCGUCUCUGGAAUAAAACUCUCCUGGUGCAAUAAAUACUCGCGCGUCUCGGGGCUGGCACAGCCGGGGAGCCCGCUUGCCCCUUUGCCUGCCCGCUUGCCCCUUUGCCUGCCCACUUGCCCACUCCCUGGGACGGGGCACGGGGAGGUGAGUGGGUGAUGCCCCCAGUUCCGGGUGCCCCUGGGUUGGGAUAUCCCUUGGGUUCAGAGCCACCACUUCAGGAUGACCCCCCCAGUCUGGAAUGCUCCUGGCUUGGGAUGCCCAGAUUUGGGAGCCACUGGUUCAGGAUGCCCCUAGUUUGGGAUGCCCUGGUUCAGGAUGCCCCUAGUUUGGGAUGCCCUGGUUUGGGAUGCUCCUGGUUUGGGAUGCCCUGGUUUGGGAUGCUCCUGGUCGGGAUGCUCCUGGUUCAGGAUGCCCUAGUUUGGGAUGCUCCUGGUUCGGGAUGCCCCUAGUUUGGGAUGCCCUGGUUUGGGAUGCUCCUGGUUUGGGAUGCCCCUAGUUUGGGAUGCCCCUAGUUUGGGGUGCCCUGUUUUGGGAUACCCUGGUUUGGGAUGUUCCUGGUUUGGGAUACCUGAAUACUUCCAGUUUGGGGAUGCCCUGCUUUGGGACCCCCAGGUUGGGACGUUCCCAGUUCAGGACGACCCUAGGUUGGGAUAUCCCUUGGUUUCAAAGCCACCACUUCAGGAUGACCCCCCCAGUCUGGAAUGCUCCUGGCUCGGGAUGCCCCGAUUUAGGAGCUUCUGGUUCAGGAUGCUCCCAGUUUGGGAUGCUCCCAGUUUGGGAUGCUCCCAGUUUGGGAUGCUCCCAGGUUGGGAUGCUGCUGGCUCGGGAUGCCCUGAUUUAGGAGCCUCUGGUUUGGGAUGCCCCAGUUUUGGGAUACCUGAAUACUUCCAGUUUGGGGAUGCCCUGCUUUGGGAGCCUCUUGCUGGGACACCCCCCCCCCCCCC